RNAcentral lists this microRNA (24 nucleotides) under Brachypodium distachyon (stiff brome). RNAcentral describes it as "bdi-miR7716-5p". The record is from miRBase by way of RNAcentral. Lineage: Eukaryota; Viridiplantae; Streptophyta; Magnoliopsida; Poales; Poaceae.
UCAGUUGCUAGAGAAGAACGAAAC